This 228-nucleotide unclassified non-coding RNA is filed under the name Bulleribasidiaceae sp. RNAcentral's name for it is "partial contains 5.8S ribosomal RNA, internal transcribed spacer 2, and large subunit ribosomal RNA". The stretch from base 1 to 50 matches the Rfam family "5.8S ribosomal RNA", at positions 105 to 154 of the family's 154-position model. Lineage: Eukaryota; Fungi; Basidiomycota; Tremellomycetes; Tremellales; Bulleribasidiaceae. The record is from RNAcentral.
CGCAACUUGCGCCCUCUGGUAUUCCGGAGGGCAUGCCUGUUUGAGUGUCAUGUAGACUCAUCUCUUCAGAUUUUCUGACUAGAUGGAUGUGGAGGUUUUUGCCUUUGUUGGCUCCUCUUAAAAGCAUUGUGCAGACGUGAUAAGUUUCGUCGUACGCGCAUUCGCCCCGCAAGGGACAACUACUUGUACUCUGACCUCAAAUCAGGUAGGGCUACCCGCUGAACUUAA